Molecule: ribosomal RNA, 484 nt
Filed under: uncultured bacterium
Lineage: Bacteria
Description: partial 16S ribosomal RNA
Rfam family: Bacterial small subunit ribosomal RNA
Source: RNAcentral
AUUGAACGCUGGCGGCAUGCUUUACACAUGCAAGUCGAACGGCAGCGCGGGCUUCGGCCUGGCGGCGAGUGGCGAACGGGUGAGUAAUGCAUCGGAACGUGCCCAGUAGUGGGGGAUAGCCCGGCGAAAGCCGGAUUAAUACCGCAUACGACCUGAGGGUGAAAGCGGGGGACCGAAAGGCCUCGCGCUAUUGGAGCGGCCUAUGUCGGAUUAGCUAGUUGGUGGGGUAAAGGCUUACCAAGGCGACGAUCCGUAGCUGGUCUGAGAGGACGACCAGCCACACUGGGACUGAGACACGGCCCAGACUCCUACGGGAGGCAGCAGUGGGGAAUUUUGGACAAAGGGGGCAACCCUGAUCCAGCCAUGCCGCGUGAGGGAAGAAGGCCUUCGGGUUGUAAAACGCUUUUGUUCGGGAAGAAAUCCUCUGGGCUAAUACCCCGGGGGGAUGACGGUACCGGAAGAAUAAGCACCGGCUAACUACGUG